This 423-nucleotide unclassified non-coding RNA is filed under the name Hevea brasiliensis (rubber tree). Lineage: Eukaryota; Viridiplantae; Streptophyta; Magnoliopsida; Malpighiales; Euphorbiaceae. The record is from RNAcentral.
AAAAAAAAAAAUCCUUAAUGUGAGUUUGGCAGUUUGUGUCUUCUUUUCGUGAUUGGGCGUGACAUUUCAUGCAGGUUAAGAGUGCCUGUUUGGAUUGAGACAGUAUUCUGGAUAUUGUUGCAGUUUGGAGAUUUGCUGGGAGGUUUGCUUGGACUUUGUCUCAUGGGGCAUUUAAGUGCUGUAAAGUGAGGUCUUGUUCAUUUCUGGAACAUGUAGCGGUUUGGAUAAUUGGUGGUAAAUUUGAUUGAAGCUUGUCUUCAGGCUUCAAGGGCUAUCUAGUGAGGGGCCUGAACUUGUAAAUUUGUUGUCUCCUAGGGAUGAAAAUUUCGAGAGGGGAGUGAAUGAAUCUCUGAGUUACUUUGCUUAUUUCAGUUUCCCAGUUCACCUCUUUGUUUAAUAAGUACCCUCACAAGGAAAUGCGUG